Molecule: ribosomal RNA, 253 nt
Filed under: uncultured bacterium
Lineage: Bacteria
Description: partial 16S ribosomal RNA
Rfam family: Bacterial small subunit ribosomal RNA
Source: RNAcentral
UACGUAGGUGGCAAGCGUUGUUCGGAAUUACUGGGCGUAAAGGGCUCGUAGGCGGCCAACUAAGUCGGAUGUGAAAUCCCCAGGCUUAACCUGGGAACUGCAUCCGAUACUGGAUGGCUUGAAUCCGGGAGAGGGAUGCAGAAUUCCAGGUGUAGCGGUGAAAUGCGUAGAUAUCUGGAGGAAUACCGGUGGCGAAGGCGGCAUCCUGGACCGGCAUUGACGCUGAGGAGCGAAAGCCAGGGGAGCAAACGGG